Molecule: long non-coding RNA, 4830 nt
Filed under: Brassica napus (rape)
Lineage: Eukaryota; Viridiplantae; Streptophyta; Magnoliopsida; Brassicales; Brassicaceae
Description: long non-coding RNA (BNAP_LNC007502)
Source: RNAcentral
AGCCCAUUUGGAGGAAAGGAAGAAGACCGUUGCUGUCUCUCAGCCCAAGAACAAGUCUUUGUCGUCUUCUGCAACUUCAGUAAACAAGCAAGCUUUGCGUGAGCAUGGUACGGUCAAGCCAGCUCACUGUGUGGAGACAAAGAAUAGGUUUGAGAGUUUGGACAGCUGUACAGCAGUGUGCUGAGGUUAACCUAAAUCUGAGAGUUGUAUAUAUUGAUGUAAAGGGCAAGUCUUGCCGUCAAGUUGAAAGUAAUAAGAAAGCAUAAGUUUCUUCUCUAUUACGUCUUAGUUUCUUCCCAUCUACAUGGUAUCAGAGCCAUGGAUGAGGCUUCAGAAACGAUUUCAACUCCAUCUUUGAGUAUCUCACAGUGUGUUACUCUGAAGCUCUCUUCUUCGAACUAUCUUCUUUGGAAGACUCAGUUCGAAUCUUUUCUGUCCAGUCAGUCUUUGCUUGGCUAUCUUGACGGGUCCACACCACGGCCUUCCCCAUCUCAGACAACUACCAACUCUGACAACACGAGAAGGAGAUGUAGUUACUGAAGAAGCAAACCCAGAGUUUGCGAAGUGGGUUCGCCGAGAUCAGUUGGUUACGUCUUGGCUGUUUGGUUCGUUGACUGAAGAAGCUUUGCGUUCGGUUUAUGGUCUUCAUUCAGCUCAAGAAGUGUGGUUCAGCCUUGGGAAGAAGUAUAACAGAGUCUCAGCAACUCGCAAGUUAGACCUACAACGUAAGCUCCAAGGUAUGUCAAAGGGUCAAAAGUCUAUGACAGAGUAUUUGGGUGAAGUCAAAGGAGUUUGUGAUCAACUUGAUUCGAUUGGUUGUCCUAUAACUGAACAAGAGAUGAUAUAUGGAGCUCUCAGUGGGUUAGGAAAAGAGUAUGAGUCUAUUUGUACGGUGAUAGAGCAUUCCAUGGAUUCAGUUCCACAGAUGAGUUUUGAGGAUGCAGUGUUCAAGUUGGUGGUGUUUGAUGACAAGUUGCAGAAGUUCAAUCAAGCUCCUGACGUAAAUCCUCACUUGGCGUUCCAUACUGGAAGAGGUUAUAACACCAGAGGACGUGGAAGCUACAACUAUCGUGGAGGAUACAGAGGUCGUAACAACACCAACUCUUAUUCAACCAGAGGUCGUGGCUUUCAGCAACAGUUUUCAGGAGGAUCUGGUUCCAAUGCAAGUUCAAGACCUACAUGUCAAAUCUGUGGCCGCUUUGGUCAUACUGCAGAUCGAUGCUACAACCGCUUUGAUCAGGACUAUAGAACUCCUGACAACAUUCACACUGCCCUUGCUACGAUGAGAGUCUCAGAUCAUCACGGUCAGUCAGGUCAUGAGUGGUAUCCAGAUUCUGCUGCAACAGCUCACAUCACAAACAACAGUGAUCAACUCCAGUCUUCAGAGCCAUAUUUGGGGAAUGAUCAGGUUAUAGUUGGUAACGGUGACUUCCUACCUAUCACUCAUGUCGGGUCUAUUUCACUUCAAACUCAACAAGGUAACUUGCCUCUCAAUGAUGUGUUGAUAUGUCCUGGUAUAACUAAAUCUUUGCUGUCUGUAUCAAAGUUGACAUCUGAUUAUCCUUGUGAGUUUACUUUUGAUUCUGAUUCGGUGUGUGUUAAGGACAAGGCCACAAAGAGAGUGAUAACACAAGGAAGAAGACUUAAAGACCUGUAUGUACUGAAGGACAUGCGGUUUCAAGCCUUUUAUUCAACACGUCAACAAGCUGCAAGUGAAGAAGUGUGGCAUAGAAGGCUGGGGCACACAAAUAUGGAUGUUCUUCAGCACUUAUCAAGAAGUCUAUCUAUAGUAAUGAAUAAAACAAGCUCAUGUCUGUGUUGUGAUGCUUGUUCAUUAGGAAAGAGUUCAAGGCUUCCCUUUGUUAACUCUGAGUCUGUCUUUAGUCAUCCCUUAGAAAGGAUUCACUGUGAUUUGUGGGGGCCUAGUCCUGUAAUGUCAUCGCAAGGUUUCAGAUACUAUGUCAUUUUCAUUGAUAAUUAUUCAAGAUACACUUGGUUUUAUCCUCUCAAGCUCAAGUCUGAAUUCUUUUCUGUCUUUGUGCGGUUUCAAAGUCUGGUUGAAAAUCAAUACAAGCAGCGCAUUGCUCAGUUCCAGUGUGAUGGAGGAGGAGAGUUCAUCAACAAGAAAUUUAUGCAACACCUGCAGUCUUGCGGCAUCAAGCAGCUUGUGUCGUGUCCUCAUACACCUCAACAGAACGGCUUAGCUGAGAGGAAGCACAGACAUAUAACAGAACUUGGGCUGACAAUGAUGUUUGAUAGUAAAGUCCCGCAACAACUAUGGGUUGAAGCCUUCUUUACUGCAAACUUUAUUGUCAACUUAUUGCCAUCCUCAGUUCUGAAAGAGAGAAAGAGUCCUUAUGAAGUGUUAAAUGACAAAGCACCAGUGUAUACAGCUCUUCGAGUGUUUGGAUGCAAAUGUUACCCUUAUCUUCGGCCUUACAUGAAGAAUAAGUUCGAUCCAAAGUCUCUGGUAUGUGUGUUUUUGGGUUACAAUGAGAGAUAUAAAGGUUACCGAUGUUUGUAUCCACCAACAGGGAAAGUGUUUAUCUCAAGACACGUUCUGUUCGAUGAGAAUCACUUUCCAUUUGGAGAUAUCUACAGUCACUUUCACACAGAUUCAGACUCAUCUCUACUCAACUCCUGGAAGAGUGUGAACCUGUUUCAAUCAAUGCAACAAGAAGAAGUUGACAAGAAUAUUGAAGAGUUACCAGCGACUGUGAUCAAGACUGUAGUUGCUCCAGCAGUUGUUUUGCCGCAGAAUUCAGAAGCUCAGACAGGUAGUGACACAGAAGAAUCUGCUACUACAUCAUCAACUGAUCAGUCUGACGAUGAUGCUGCGGUUGAACAGCAAGAGCAAGUGGAACCAGUAGUCUCAGUUCCUCACUCAAUGACAACACGUGCCAGAGCAGGAAUCAUCAAACCAAACCCUCGAUAUGCAAUGGUUUCUGUGAAAACAGAACACUCUAACCUCGAAGUGUCAAAGCAGCUUUGAACGAUCCACGUUGGAAUGCUUCUAUGCGUUUGGAAAUCGAUAACAUGGAAGAAACAGGGACAUAUGAGUUAGUUCCAUCAGAGGAAGGACAAAAUCCAGUAGGCUGUGGCUGGGUUUAUAAGACUAAGCUCAAUGCUGAUGGAACAGUUCUGAAGCUCAGGUCGCGUCUAGUGGCUAGAGGAAAUCAACAAGAAGAGGGAGUAGAUUUUCUUGAAACGUUUAGCCCUGUGGUGCGAACAGCUACUAUCAGGACAGUAUUACAUGUGGCGGUAACAAAGAAAUGGAAGAUCAAGCAGCUUGAUGUUCAGAAUGCCUUUCUACACGGAGACUUGAAGGAGACAGUGUAUAUGAUUCAGCCUCCGGGUUUUGAAGAUCAGUCGAGACCAGAUUAUGUGUGUAAACUGAAGAAAGCAAUAUACGGUCUGAAACAAGCUCCUAGAGCAUGGUUUGAUAAGUUCAGUAACUUUCUCUUGGAGUUCGGAUUUCAGUGUAGCUUUCCGGAUCCUUCGUUGUUCAUCUAUCAUCAAGGAACAGAUGUUAUUUAUCUGUUACUGUAUGUCGAUGAUAUGAUUUUGACAGGCAACAAUGACAACUUGCUAGUGACACUCCUUGAGAAGCUGAGUACAGUGUUUCGUAUGAAGGAUAUGGGGCCGAUACACUAUUUUCUUGGCAUUCAGGUACAUCAAAAUGAAGACGGUCUGUUCCUGAAUCAGGCCAAAUAUGCUCAGGAUCUUCUCACAAGUGCUGGUAUGCGAGACUGUGCUCCAAUGCCUACGCCUUUGCCGAUGAAGCUAGACAAUCUUCAUGGUCAUGAUGAAUUAUUUGCUGAGCCAUCGUAUUUUCGAAGUCUAGCAGGUAAACUUCAGUACUUAACAUUGACAAGACCAGAUCUUCAGUUCUCGGUGAACUAUAUCUGUCAGAAGAUGCAUCAGCCAAGUGUGUCUGACUUCAGUUUGCUAAAGAGAAUCUUAAGAUAUGUCAAGGGUACAUAUGAUAUGGGAGUGAGUAUCAAAGGUCAUACAGAUUCAACUUUAGUCUGUUAUAGCGACUCAGACUGGGCUGGAUGCAAAGACACUCGAAGAUCAACUGGUGGUUUUUGCACAAUGCUUGGCUCAAAUGUUAUAUCCUGGUCUGCGAAGAGACAUGAUACUGUAUCUAAGUCAUCUACUGAGGCAGAAUAUCGAACAAUGUCUGCUGCAACUUCAGAGAUUGUUUGGCUACAAAAUCUUUUGAAGAUAAUGGGGCUGCAACAGAGAGUCACGCCUCUGCUUCUCUGCGACAAUUUGUCUGCAGUAUGUUUGACAGCGAAUCCAAUGUUUCACAAGAGGACUAAGCAUUUUGAUAUUGAUUAUCAUUAUGUUAGAGAACGAGUAGCAGUGAAAGCUCUGGAAGUCAAGCACAUUCCGGCUACUCUUCAGAUUGCGGAUGUGUUUACAAAGUCAUUGUCACAAGAGUCUUUCUACAAAUGGAGAAGCAAACUUGGUGUUGCCGUGCCUCCUACGCCAAGUUUGAGGGGGAGUAAAGGUAGUAUGAAUACUGGGCCGUUGUUCAAAGCCCAUUUGGAGGAAAGGAAGAAGACCGUUGCUGUCUCUCAGCCCAAGAACAAGUCUUUGUCGUCUUCUGCAACUUCAGUAAACAAGCAAGCUUUGCGUGAGCAUGGUACGGUCAAGCCAGCUCACUGUGUGGAGACAAAGAAUAGGUUUGAGAGUUUGGACAGCUGUACAGCAGUGUGCUGAGGUUAACCUAAAUCUGAGAGUUGUAUAUAUUGAUGUAAAGGGCAAGUCUUGCCGUCAAGUUGAAAGUAAUAAGAAAGCAUAAGUUUCUUCUCUAUUACGUCU